This 25-nucleotide non-coding RNA is filed under the name Cricetulus griseus (Chinese hamster). The record is from RNAcentral. Lineage: Eukaryota; Metazoa; Chordata; Mammalia; Rodentia; Cricetidae.
CUUACUAGAUUCUGGAGCUGAUAAG